UGGCCACCCCUGCUCUAGUCUCAAGCAAGGCAGGUCCACCGUCUGAUUUAAUCCGUUCAACAAUGUGGCCCAAAUCUGAUUUGAAAAUAUCCGAUUCCAUGUGCUUUUUUUCCUGUUUACACAAGUGAGCAAAAAAUCGGUAUUGGGUCACUUUUACCAGGCGGUGUUAACGUAGCCUUAGUGAACCUGCUCAUUUAUUGGCUGCCAAUUAGAGCAAUCAGUAAGCUCCACCUCCUGCUUCUCACUUCCUGAAAGUUCAUUCACGUUUGUUUACUUAGCUUGGUUCCCCACUGACGAACGUAACUGCUUGGUUUAUACAAAGCGUAGCCCAUGCCUUGCAGUUUGGUAACAAAAACCGCCAAAGUAACCGGCCAGGGAACUACUGUACAAUGAUCUGCCCUUUAUUAACCAUCAAUCAUGGAAAAGCAAGUGAAAUCAUGAGAAUGCAAAUGGCGCUGUUGCUGUAGCAUCCGCCAUUAAACGUAGCUAACGCCAACUAAAUCGCCGCCGGAAGCGCGUGUGCAGAACACCUCUGUGGCCUGGUCUCUAACGACUGAAGGAAGUUUUUCGCGGGAGUUUGGAAUACGUGAAGUCAAAGCAGGUCCGCACAGUGGUGUGAAGGUGUGCAGGUGGGAAGGUGCUGUGUUGGCCUACCCAGGGUCUGCCCCGCCAGGACCCGCCCGUUCUCGGCGAGCACGGCCCCCCGUGCGUGCCUCUCGCUGGCGUACUGGACGAAGGCGUAGCCCUUGUGGAUGGAGCAGCCCAGGACCUGCCCGUACUGAGAGAAGAUGGCCUCCACGUCCGGCUUCUUCACCACCGCCGUGUUCAGGUUGCCGAUGAACACGCGCGAGUUGAUGGACUUGGGGUCGUUCUUGUUAGUCACGUUGCUGGUCUGGACUUUCAGGGACAUCUUGUUCCGUGGAUUUAAAAAAAAAAAUCUG
Anguilla rostrata (American eel) is the source of this 941-nucleotide long non-coding RNA. RefSeq lists it as uncharacterized. The transcript is spliced from 2 exons. NCBI's taxonomy places the organism in Eukaryota, Metazoa, Chordata, Actinopteri, Anguilliformes, Anguillidae. The record is from RefSeq and is a predicted model, not a curated record.